CCAGCUCCAAUAGCGUAUAUUUAAGUUGUUGCAGUUAAAAAGCUCGUAGUUGGAUUUUGGGUUGGAGGAUUCGGUCUGCCGACAGGUUGAUACUGUCUCCUCCAUCCUUCUUGCCGGGAACGCGUCCUGGUCUUCACUGGCUGGGGCGCGGAGUCGGCGAUGUUACUUUGAAAAAAUUAGAGUGUUCAAAGCAGGCCUAUGCUCUGAAUACAUUAGCAUGGAAUAACGUGAUAGGACUCUGGUCCUAUUGUGUUGGUCUUCGGGACCGGAGUAAUGAUUAAUAGGGACAGUUGGGGGCAUUCGUAUUUCAUUGUCAGAGGUGAAAUUCUUGGAUUUAUGAAAGACGAACUACUGCGAAAGCAUUUGCCAAGGAUGUUUUCA
Molecule: ribosomal RNA, 381 nt
Filed under: Staurodesmus validus
Lineage: Eukaryota; Viridiplantae; Streptophyta; Zygnematophyceae; Desmidiales; Desmidiaceae
Also listed under: 1 other name
Description: SSU rRNA
Rfam family: Eukaryotic small subunit ribosomal RNA
Source: RNAcentral